This 497-nucleotide ribosomal RNA is filed under the name uncultured bacterium. RNAcentral describes it as "partial 16S ribosomal RNA". It matches the Rfam family "Bacterial small subunit ribosomal RNA", at positions 28 to 507 of the family's 1533-position model. The record is from RNAcentral.
GAUGAACGCUGGCGGCGUGCCUAAUACAUGCAAGUCGAGCGAACAGACGAGGAGCUUGCGCCUCUGACGUUAGCGGCGGACGGGUGAGUAACACGUGGAUAACCUACCUAUAAGACUGGGAUAACUUCGGGAAACCGGAGCUAAUACCGGAUAAUAUAUUGAACCGCAUGGUUCAAUAGUGAAAGACGGUUUUGCUGUCACUUAUAGAUGGAUCCGCGCCGCAUUAGCUAGUUGGUAAGGUAACGGCUUACCAAGGCAACGAUGCGUAGCCGACCUGAGAGGAUGAUCGGCCACACUGGAACUGAGACACGGUCCAGACUCCUACGGGAGGCAGCAGUAGGGAAUCUUCCGCAAUGGGCGAAAGCUUGACGGAGCAACGCCGCGUGAGUGAUGAAGGUCUUCGGAUCGUAAAACUCUGUUAUUAGGGAAGAACAAAUGUGUAAGUAACUAUGCACGUCUUGACGGUACCUAAUCAGAAAGCCACGGCUAACUACGUG